This is a small nuclear RNA of 212 nucleotides. Its record names the gene U4. It matches the Rfam family "U4 spliceosomal RNA". Rfam says of the family: U4 small nuclear RNA (U4 snRNA) is a component of the major U2-dependent spliceosome. The record is from Ensembl.
AGCUUUGCGCAGUGUCAGUAUCGUAGCCAAUGAGGUUUAUCCGAGGCGCGAUUAUUGCUAUAAGGCAGAGGAACCAGAGAUCAAAUUGCCAACAUCCGCUGGAUCAUGGAAAAGCAAGAGAGUUCCAGAAAAACAUCUAUUUCUGCUCUAUUGACUAUGCCAAAGCCUUUGACUGUGUGGAUCAGAAUAAACUGUAGAAAAUUCUGAAAGAG